This 21-nucleotide small RNA is filed under the name Arabidopsis thaliana (thale cress). RNAcentral describes it as "ATSL073870". Lineage: Eukaryota; Viridiplantae; Streptophyta; Magnoliopsida; Brassicales; Brassicaceae. The record is from RNAcentral.
AAUCGUUAUGUGCCACGUCGA